AGUAACACGUGGGUAACCUGCCCUUAAGUGGGGGAUAACAUUUGGAAACAGAUGCUAAUACCGCAUAAAUCCAAGAACCGCAUGGUUCUUGGCUGAAAGAUGGCGUAAGCUAUCGCUUUUGGAUGGACCCGCGGCGUAUUAGCUAGUUGGUGAGGUAACGGCUCACCAAGGCAAUGAUACGUAGCCGAACUGAGAGGUUGAUCGGCCACAUUGGGACUGAGACACGGCCCAAACUCCUACGGGAGGCAGCAUG
Molecule: ribosomal RNA, 253 nt
Filed under: uncultured bacterium
Lineage: Bacteria
Description: partial 16S ribosomal RNA
Rfam family: Bacterial small subunit ribosomal RNA
Source: RNAcentral